GCCCGGAUGGUGGAACUGGUAGACACGCCAUCUUGAGGGGGUGGUGGGCUUACGCCUGUGCGAGUUCGAGUCUCGCUCCGGGCACCA
RNAcentral lists this transfer RNA (87 nucleotides) under Candidatus Effluviviaceae Genus IV sp. Its description in RNAcentral is "tRNA-Leu". It matches the Rfam family "tRNA". From Rfam's summary of the family: Transfer RNA (tRNA) molecules are approximately 80 nucleotides in length. Their secondary structure includes four short double-helical elements and three loops (D, anti-codon, and T loops). The record is from RNAcentral. Lineage: Bacteria; Candidatus Effluviviacota; Candidatus Effluviviaceae.